This 547-nucleotide ribosomal RNA is filed under the name uncultured bacterium. Its description in RNAcentral is "partial 16S ribosomal RNA". The record is from RNAcentral.
GGAGUUAGCCGGUGCUUCUUCUGUGAGUGAUGUCCUUCCUGCCGGUUAUUGACCCGCAGGCCUUCUUCCUCACUGAAAGUGCUUUACAACCCGAAGGCCUUCUUCACACACGCGGCAUGGCUGGAUCAGGGUUGCCCCCAUUGUCCAAUAUUCCCCACUGCUGCCUCCCGUAGGAGUCUGGGCCGUGUCUCAGUCCCAGUGUGGCUGAUCAUCCUCUCAGACCAGCUACGGAUCGUCGCCUUGGUGAGCCGUUACCUCACCAACCAGCUAAUCCGACAUAGGCUCAUCCGAUAGCGCGAGGCCCGAAGGUCCCCCGCUUUCCCCCGUAGGGCGUAUGCGGUAUUAGCCUGGGUUUCCCCAGGUUAUCCCCCACUACCGGGCAGAUUCCUAUGCAUUACUCACCCGUCCGCCGCUCGCCACCAGGGAGCAAGCUCCCCGUGCUGCCGCUCGACUUGCAUGUGUUAGGCCUGCCGCCAGCGUUCAAUCUGAACGACAGUACAACUAACUCGACGUACGAGACGGGCGGUCGUCGACGGACGGCGACUAG